This 1384-nucleotide ribosomal RNA is filed under the name Pantoea sp. RNAcentral's name for it is "bacterial SSU rRNA". It matches the Rfam family "Bacterial small subunit ribosomal RNA", at positions 70 to 1447 of the family's 1533-position model. Lineage: Bacteria; Pseudomonadati; Pseudomonadota; Gammaproteobacteria; Enterobacterales; Erwiniaceae. The record is from RNAcentral.
ACAGAAGAGCUUGCUCUUUGGGUGGCGAGUGGCGGACGGGUGAGUAAUGUCUGGGAAACUGCCCGAUGGAGGGGGAUAACUACUGGAAACGGUAGCUAAUACCGCAUAACGUCGCAAGACCAAAGUGGGGGACCUUCGGGCCUCACACCAUCGGAUGUGCCCAGAUGGGAUUAGCUAGUAGGUGGGGUAAUGGCUCACCUAGGCGACGAUCCCUAGCUGGUCUGAGAGGAUGACCAGCCACACUGGAACUGAGACACGGUCCAGACUCCUACGGGAGGCAGCAGUGGGGAAUAUUGCACAAUGGGCGCAAGCCUGAUGCAGCCAUGCCGCGUGUAUGAAGAAGGCCUUCGGGUUGUAAAGUACUUUCAGCGGGGAGGAAGGCGGUGAGGUUAAUAACCUUGCCGAUUGACGUUACCCGCAGAAGAAGCACCGGCUAACUCCGUGCCAGCAGCCGCGGUAAUACGGAGGGUGCAAGCGUUAAUCGGAAUUACUGGGCGUAAAGCGCACGCAGGCGGUCUGUUAAGUCAGAUGUGAAAUCCCCGGGCUUAACCUGGGAACUGCAUUUGAAACUGGCAGGCUUGAGUCUCGUAGAGGGGGGUAGAAUUCCAGGUGUAGCGGUGAAAUGCGUAGAGAUCUGGAGGAAUACCGGUGGCGAAGGCGGCCCCCUGGACGAAGACUGACGCUCAGGUGCGAAAGCGUGGGGAGCAAACAGGAUUAGAUACCCUGGUAGUCCACGCCGUAAACGAUGUCGACUUGGAGGUUGUGCCCUUGAGGCGUGGCUUCCGGAGCUAACGCGUUAAGUCGACCGCCUGGGGGAGUACGGCCGCAAGGUUAAAACUCAAAUGAAUUGACGGGGGCCCGCACAAGCGGUGGAGCAUGUGGUUUAAUUCGAUGCAACGCGAAGAACCUUACCUGGCCUUGACAUCCAGAGAACUUAGCAGAGAUGCUUUGGUGCCUUCGGGAACUCUGAGACAGGUGCUGCAUGGCUGUCGUCAGCUCGUGUUGUGAAAUGUUGGGUUAAGUCCCGCAACGAGCGCAACCCUUAUCCUUUGUUGCCAGCGGUUCGGCCGGGAACUCAAAGGAGACUGCCGGUGAUAAACCGGAGGAAGGUGGGGAUGACGUCAAGUCAUCAUGGCCCUUACGGCCAGGGCUACACACGUGCUACAAUGGCGCAUACAAAGAGAAGCGACCUCGCGAGAGCAAGCGGACCUCAUAAAGUGCGUCGUAGUCCGGAUUGGAGUCUGCAACUCGACUCCAUGAAGUCGGAAUCGCUAGUAAUCGUAGAUCAGAAUGCUACGGUGAAUACGUUCCCGGGCCUUGUACACACCGCCCGUCACACCAUGGGAGUGGGUUGCAAAAGAAGUAGGUAGCUUAACCUUCGGGA